Etheostoma cragini (Arkansas darter) is the source of this 2126-nucleotide RNA transcript. It is a transcript of the gene named phosphodiesterase 9A, with no coding region annotated. The transcript has 19 exons. The record is from RefSeq and is a predicted model, not a curated record. Lineage: Eukaryota; Metazoa; Chordata; Actinopteri; Perciformes; Percidae.
CCGGAGAGAGAGAGUUAGAAAAGGAGAGAGAGUUAGUGUCGGUGCAUUUGACAGACGGACAGGCAGGUGGGAUGGUGUUGGACCGCUGACUACACUCUCACCCCCACCCUCGCUUUGUAACGGCGGUGGGAGUGGGACCGGUCACAGAGCCCGGAGCCCGGAGCAGAAGCCGUACAGCGACGCAACGACGCCCGGGAAAGGAGAGGGGACCAUGGGCUCCGCUUCGUCCUCCUACCGCGUCAUUUACCUGGACGUGGACGGUAGGAUUCAGAAGGUGGUGUUCAGUAGAUUCUGCACCCCAUGUGACAUUAAGGAGCUUUUCUGUACAGCCUUGGGUGUGCCAAGAAACACUAAUCUGUCCCUGCUGGAUUCAUCCGGAGCCAUGGUGUCCAUUGACCCCACCAUGCCGCACAACACAGAGAGGUCACUGUACCGAGUGGUGCCUAUGACUGGAGGACAGCUUGCUGAUAAAGAGGAACUCUUUCAGAAUGUACUGACGCAAGUAGCAGAGCAGUUUUCAAGGGCGUUCAAGAUCAACGAGCUGAAGACCGAGGUCACCAACCGUCUUGCCAUGUUGGAGAAGAGAGUAGAGUUGGAGGGGAUGAAGGUGGUGGAGAUUGAGAAAUGUCGCAACGAUAUCAAGAAGCUCCGCCAAGAGAUGGUGUCAAGAAACAACAGUAACUUCCUGGAAGACAAUAAGAAGCUGACUCCUCGCAGAGACGUGCCCUCGUACCCAAAGUACCAUCUGUCUAAGGAGACAGUAGAAGCUCUUAGAUUGCCUACAUUCGAUGCUUGGCAGUGGGAACCUAAUGAGAUGCUCAGCUGUCUGGAACAUAUGUACCACGACUUGGGCUUGGUCAAAGACUUCAGCAUCAACCCUAUCACACUCAAGAGAUGGCUGCUAUGUAUUCAUGACAACUACAAGAAUAACCCCUUCCACAACUUCCGCCACUGUUUCUGUGUCACCCAGAUGAUGUACAGCAUGAUCUGCCUCUGCAACCUACAGGAGAAGUUCACUCAGGUCGACGUUUUGAUUCUCAUGACAGCUGCCGUGUGUCACGAUCUUGAUCACCCCGGAUUCAACAACACGUACCAGAUCAAUGCCAGAACAGAGCUGUCAGUUCGCUACAACGACAUCUCCCCUCUGGAGAACCACCACUGUGCUGUGGCCUUCCAGAUCUUAUCCCAGCCCGACUGCAACAUCUUCUCCAACUUUGACCCUGACACCUUCAAACAGAUACGACAGGGAACCAUCACACUCAUCCUGGCUACAGACAUGGCACGACACGGUGAGAUCCUGGACUCCUUCAAGCAGAAAGUCGACAGCUUUGACUACGCCGAUGAGGAGCAUGCCACCUGUCUGAAGAUGGUGCUCAUCAAGUGCUGCGACAUCUCCAACGAGGUGCGGCCCAUGGAGGUGGCUGAGCCCUGGGUGGACUGCCUGCUUGAGGAGUACUUCAUGCAGAGCGACCGGGAGAAGGCUGAAGGGCUUCCUGUGGCUCCGUUCAUGGACAGAGAAAAGGUCACCAAGCCGACGGCUCAGAUUGGCUUCAUCAAGUUUGUCCUUAUCCCCAUGUUUGAGACGGUGAUGAAGCUGUUCCCACAGAUUGAGGAGGCGAUGGUGCAGCCACUCAGAGAGUCAAGAGACCGAUACGAAGAACUCAAACAGAUUGAUGACGCCAUGAAUGAGUAAUGUUCCCUCCAGGUGCAGAAAAACAAAAGUGAGAGCUUGACCAUGGGAGGGAAGAAGAAGUAAGACGUUUUAUGAAGCACCAGUGAGCGUAGAGCACGAGAGUGGAGCAGUGUGAUGUAAAGUUAACCUGAGUUGUCACGACACGUCCUCACAGAGGAGCAGCAGGAUGUGUGAUCUGGGAAAAAUAAGGUGGAUUUCCAGUCUGUCACAGAAAUGUGAUGGAGUCGAUAUGAGAAGCAACUCUGAGACAGUGUUACAAACUACUGAUGGAAUCAAGGACCAAAGGGAUAAUCGCCUUUCAGGACAUGUCAACAUUUGUACAGCACAAAUUAGAUACAUAUCUGCAUUGUUUUUUAUUUGAAAUGUGUUGUUUUUUACAGAUUGUACAGAUUUUUAGUAACCUGUGUUCUUUCCUACAAAAAAUAAAAGGAUU